RNAcentral lists this transfer RNA (77 nucleotides) under uncultured Dehalococcoidia bacterium. RNAcentral describes it as "tRNA-Arg". It matches the Rfam family "tRNA". Rfam says of the family: Transfer RNA (tRNA) molecules are approximately 80 nucleotides in length. The record is from RNAcentral. Lineage: Bacteria; Bacillati; Chloroflexota; Dehalococcoidia.
GCCCCUGUAGCUCAGACGGAUAGAGCAGCGGUUUCCUAAACCGCGUGUCGCGAGUUCGAAUCCCGCCAGGGGCACCA